UGAGGUGUGACAUAUGGGAUGCAAAGUU
This 28-nucleotide non-coding RNA is filed under the name Homo sapiens (human). The record is from RNAcentral. Lineage: Eukaryota; Metazoa; Chordata; Mammalia; Primates; Hominidae.